AACGUAGGAGACGAACGUUAUCCGGAGUUACUGGGCGUAAAGGGCGUGCAGGCGGCCUGUUAAGUUCGUUGUGAAAUCUCUCGGCUAAACCGGGAGGGUGCGAUGAAUACUGGCGGGCUAGAGGGCGGUAGAGGCGUGUGGAAUUCCGGGUGUAGUGGUGAAAUGCGUAGAGAUCCGGAGGAACACCAGUGGCGAAGGCGACACGCUGGGCCGCACCUGACGCUAAGACGCGACAGCAUGGGGAGCGAACGGG
Molecule: ribosomal RNA, 253 nt
Filed under: uncultured bacterium
Lineage: Bacteria
Also listed under: 1 other name
Description: partial 16S ribosomal RNA
Rfam family: Bacterial small subunit ribosomal RNA
Source: RNAcentral